This 1502-nucleotide small RNA is filed under the name Rattus norvegicus (Norway rat). Its description in RNAcentral is "uncharacterized LOC108349642". The record is from RNAcentral. Lineage: Eukaryota; Metazoa; Chordata; Mammalia; Rodentia; Muridae.
UACUAGAGGAGAAAAGUCAUCAGUGGUCUUCCCCAGUGGUGAAUCCUGCAUGCUACAAUACUGACCUGCAAGGCGAGAUAUACCUGCCUACUGGUGCAAUAGUGCAUGAACAUUAGGGGGCAACCAAAUUCUUUCUGAUUGGAUUUGAAGCCUACUUCACAGAAGGGAAUUAUUUUGGUGUUUUGCCUGGCAUGUAUUUGUGUGUGCCAUAUGCAAGAAGUGCCUCUAGAGGUCAGAACAGGGAGUCGGAUCCUCUGGAAGUGGAAUUGGAAGCUAUUUGGGUGAUGGAAAAAAAGCCUGGGUCCUCUGGAAGAGCAGCAAGUGCUCUUAACCACCGAACCAUCUCUCCUGCCCCAGAAGGCAUUUCUUGCUUGACUGUAAACCUGGCCCAAAGCCAAUGUCCCUGUAGUUCAUGAUAGGGUGGGGGAGGACCCACUACUGUUGGGGUGGAUGGAUAUGUUUUCAAACUGCUUUCUAAGUAUUUAUGAUUAUAGUGAUAAAUUCAUGCUGUUCUCAGCCUUCGUAAGCUUCUUCCUACAGUGGGCAACAGUUAAUGUGGAGUCCUACAAACAACCAAAGGGCUGAGAAUAAAUCACUGUUGACUAUUUAGUCCUAGGGGAGACUCAGGGAACAUCCUGAAAGAAGGGCCAGGAAGAACAUAAGAGCAGGAGGCAGGGAGGAGCGCCUUGGGAUGCUGUCUUCUGGAUGUGACAUGGUCGUUGCCCUCACGGCAGCUGUGGUCAUCUGCACAAGAUCAAGCCAACAAACUCAGUCAGUGCUCCAGAAGGGGGGAACUGGGCUUAGUAUGUUACAAGGACAACAGAAGAGGACAUGAGAGUGGGAGAGGAUGUCUAGUGGUGCCCUGGGGAGUGGGAGAGAAGAUACAUUGUCUCAUGUAUCCCCCAAAUAGAUAAAAACUAUUCUUUACAGAUAAUUGAAGUUUGAAAACAAGUUCUAUGUACGAAAACCAAGGAAGAAAAUGGCGUUAACAGGUACCCAAGAGUUAAAAUGUAGCUUGACAGAAGAUAGCUCAGACGGUAGGCCACUUACCUAGCAGGCAUAAGACUCUAAGUUUGAUCUCACAGAAAGGAAAAGAGAAUUAAAACUAUACUUGAAAAUGACUUCAUUCACAGAGUAUCCUAAGGGAUUCACUGAAGAUUAAUUAUGAUGGAGAAAAAUGAAAGCCGCAGUGAGAUUUCACCUCACCACCGUUAGGACAACUAUGAUAAGCCGAAUGGGAAGAAUCAGAAGACCUAAGUGUUGACAAGAACGUAAAGAAAUGGUGGUGGUGACACCUUUAAUCCAGCAGCACUCUGAAGGCAGAGGCAGCACUUGGUGGAAUUUCCCCGCUGGAGUUGGGACCUGUGCUGAGAAAUGAAAACCUAUGCCUUUGGCUGCUGGCACGUGGUGAUCUACGUCAUCAGUCACGUCCAGGGGUCGGACUUAUGAUUUUUGCCUUUAUAAGCCUGCUGCUUUGCAAUAAAGUUGAGCCUUGAUCAGAA